UGGGGAAUAUUGGACAAUGGGCGAAAGCCUGAUCCAGCCAUGCCGCGUGUGUGAAGAAGGUCUUCGGAUUGUAAAGCACUUUAAGUUGGGAGGAAGGGCAGUUACCUAAUACGUAUCUGUUUUGACGUUACCGACAGAAUAAGCACCGGCUAACUCUGUGCCAGCAGCCGCGGUAAUACAGAGGGUGCAAGCGUUAAUCGGAAUUACUGGGCGUAAAGCGCGCGUAGGUGGUUUGUUAAGUUGGAUGUGAAAUCCCCGGGCUCAACCUGGGAACUGCAUUCAAAACUGACAAGCUAGAGUAUGGUAGAGGGUGGUGGAAUUUCCUGUGUAGCGGUGAAAUGCGUAGAUAUAGGAAGGAACACCAGUGGCGAAGGCGACCACCUGGACUGAUACUGACACUGAGGUGCGAAAGCGUGGGGAGCAGACAGGAUUAGAUACCCUGGUAGUCCCUGAGCGGGCUGGCAAGGCGCAU
This 472-nucleotide ribosomal RNA is filed under the name uncultured bacterium. RNAcentral describes it as "bacterial SSU rRNA". It matches the Rfam family "Bacterial small subunit ribosomal RNA", at positions 355 to 825 of the family's 1533-position model. The record is from RNAcentral.